ACGGGUGAGUAACGCGUAGGUAAUCUACCCCAAAAUCUGGAAUAACCUGCCGAAAGGCGGGCUAAUACUGGAUAGAGCGACGGAAUCCGUAAUUGGGUUUUUCGGGAAAGGGAGGAAGCAAUUCCCUUCGUUUUGGGAUGAGCCUGCGUCUCAUUAGCUAGUUGGUGGGGUAAAGGCCCACCAAGGCUAUGAUGGGUAGCUGGUCUGAGAGGAUGAUCAGCCACACUGGAACUGAAACACGGUCCAGACUCCUACGGGAGGCAGCAGUGGGGAAUCUUGCGCAAUGGAGGAAACUCUGACGCAGCCACGCCGCGUGAGUGAAGAAGGCCUUAGGGUUGUAAAGCUCUGUCGCCUGGGACGAAAAAUAUUAGGGUUAACAGCCCUAGUGUCUGACGGUACCAGGAAAGGAAGCACCGGCUAACUCCGUGCCAGCAGCCGCGGUAAUACGGAGGGUGCAAGCGUUGCUCGGAAUUAUUGGGCGUAAAGGGUAGGUAGGUGGUCUCAUUUGUCUGGGGUGAAAGCCUUGAGCUUAACUCAAGAAGUGCCCCAGAAACGGUGAGACUGGAGUCCUGGAGAGGGUCGUGGAAUUC
RNAcentral lists this ribosomal RNA (590 nucleotides) under uncultured bacterium. RNAcentral describes it as "bacterial SSU rRNA". It matches the Rfam family "Bacterial small subunit ribosomal RNA", at positions 102 to 669 of the family's 1533-position model. The record is from RNAcentral.